This 253-nucleotide ribosomal RNA is filed under the name uncultured bacterium. Its description in RNAcentral is "partial 16S ribosomal RNA". It matches the Rfam family "Bacterial small subunit ribosomal RNA", at positions 524 to 776 of the family's 1533-position model. The record is from RNAcentral.
UACGAAGGGGGCUAGCGUUGCUCGGAAUCACUGGGCGUAAAGCGCACGUAGGCGGCUUUUUAAGUCAGGGGUGAAAUCCUGGAGCUCAACUCCAGAACUGCCUUUGAUACUGAGAAGCUUGAGUCCGGGAGAGGUGAGUGGAACUGCGAGUGUAGAGGUGAAAUUCGUAGAUAUUGGGAAGAACACCGGUGGCGAAGGCGGCUCUCUGGACCGAUACUGACGCUGAGGCGCGAAAGCGUGGGGAGCAAACAGG